GUGCAGUGGCGGCGUGCUAUACAUGCAGUCGAGCGAAUCGAUGGGAGCUUGCUCCCUGAGAUUAGCGGCGGACGGGUGAGUAACACGUGGGCAACCUGCCUAUAAGACUGGGAUAACUUCGGGAAACCGGAGCUAAUACCGGAUACGUUCUUUUCUCGCAUGAGAGAAGAUGGAAAGACGGUUUACGCUGUCACUUAUAGAUGGGCCCGCGGCGCAUUAGCUAGUUGGUGAGGUAAUGGCUCACCAAGGCGACGAUGCGUAGCCGACCUGAGAGGGUGAUCGGCCACACUGGGACUGAGACACGGCCCAGACUCCUACGGGAGGCAGCAGUAGGGAAUCUUCCGCAAUGGACGAAAGUCUGACGGAGCAACGCCGCGUGAACGAAGAAGGCCUUCGGGUCGUAAAGUUCUGUUGUUAGGGAAGAACAAGUACCAGAGUAACUGCUGGUACCUUGACGGUACCUAACCAGAAAGCCACGGCUAACUACGUGCCAGCAGCCGCGGUAAUACGUAGGUGGCAAGCGUUGUCCGGAAUUAUUGGGCGUAAAGCGCGCGCAGGUGGUUCCUUAAGUCUGAUGUGAAAGCCCACGGCUCAACCGUGGAGGGUCAUUGGAAACUGGGGAACUUGAGUGCAGAAGAGGAAAGUGGAAUUCCAAGUGUAGCGGUGAAAUGCGUAGAGAUUUGGAGGAACACCAGUGGCGAAGGCGACUUUCUGGUCUGUAACUGACACUGAGGCGCGAAAGCGUGGGGAGCAAACAGGAUUAGAUACCCUGGUAGUCCACGCCGUAAACGAUGAGUGCUAAGUGUUAGAGGGUUUCCGCCCUUUAGUGCUGCAGCUAACGCAUUAAGCACUCCGCCUGGGGAGUACGGCCGCAAGGCUGAAACUCAAAGGAAUUGACGGGGGCCCGCACAAGCGGUGGAGCAUGUGGGUUUAAUUCGAAGCAACGCGAAGAACCCUUACCAGGUCUUGACAUCCUCUGACAACCCUAGAGAUAGGGCUUUCCCCUUUCGGGGGACAGAGUGACAGGUGUGCAUGAUGUCGUCAGCUCGUGUCGUGAGAUGUGGGGUAGUCCCGCACGAGCGCAACCCUUGAUCUUAGUUGCCAGCAUUCAGUUGGGCACCUUCUAAAGUGACU
This 1134-nucleotide ribosomal RNA is filed under the name Bacillus sp. (in: firmicutes). RNAcentral's name for it is "bacterial SSU rRNA". It matches the Rfam family "Bacterial small subunit ribosomal RNA", at positions 33 to 1150 of the family's 1533-position model. The record is from RNAcentral. Lineage: Bacteria; Bacillati; Bacillota; Bacilli; Caryophanales; Bacillaceae.